GUACACGCUGUGACUAGCAUAUCAAUAAGCGGAGGAAAAGAAACUAACAAGGAUUCCCCUAGUAACGGCGAGUGAAGCGGGAAGAGCUCAAAUUUGAAAUCUUAAAGGGUUUCCCUUUACGAAUUGUAGUUUAAAGAAGUGUUUUCUGUUGAGGUUUUGGUAAAAGUUCUUUGGAAUAGGACAUCAUAGAGGGUGAGAAUCCCGUAUUUGACCUUUACUUUCAACUUUGUGAUACACAUUCAAAGAGUCGGAUUGUUUGGGAAUGCAGUCCAAAAUGGGUGGUAAAUUUCAUCUAAAGCUAAAUAUUGGCGAGAGACCGAUAGCGAACAAGUACCGUGAGGGAAAGAUGAAAAGAACUUUGAAAAGAGAGUUAAACAGUACGUGAAAUUGUCAAAAGGGAAGCGUUUGACACCAGUGUUGUUUUUCUGAAAAUCAAUUAAAGAACUGUUUAUGCUAAGUUGUUUAGACUUUAUCAGCUAACUGUUUAGUUUUGAGCUUUUCUUUAAUGCACUUUUCAGUUAACAAGUCAACAUCAAUUUCUUUUGCUGUAAAAAAGCUUGAGGAAGGUGGCUUGAGAUUCGUCUUAAGUGUUUAUAGCCUCUUGCCUAUGCAGUCGGAGAGAUUGAGGUCUGCAGCGUAGAUCCUUCGGGGCUAAAUGCAUUUGUGCUAAGUUAUAACAUUUUAUAGACAACUUGUUGACUAUGAUUUGUCUUGUAGCUUACUCGCUUAUGUUAUUUUACCUACGCUUAGGAUGUUGAUAUGCAUGACUGAUAU
RNAcentral lists this ribosomal RNA (774 nucleotides) under uncultured Neocallimastigales. Its description in RNAcentral is "partial large subunit ribosomal RNA". It matches the Rfam family "Eukaryotic large subunit ribosomal RNA", at positions 22 to 636 of the family's 3401-position model. The record is from RNAcentral. Lineage: Eukaryota; Fungi; Neocallimastigomycota; Neocallimastigomycetes; Neocallimastigales.